ACUGGAUGGCGACUGUCAAAUGAUUAAAAUAAAACAAUUUUAUUUUCUUACUCAACCUUUGUGUUGUGUCCAUUAACAUCAACAAGAACGUCGUUGGAAGGAAAAUAUGACACAUGAUAAAAUAGACGGCUACACCAUUGGAAACAUGUUCCUUAUAACUAACACUUUUUGGAAUACUUCACUUUCCAAUAGACAUUCAAGAAUUUGUCAGUAAUUAUAUCAUUUUGUUGACAAGAUUAAACUACUUUAAUUAAAUUAAAUAUAAUUUCAUAUUCUUUUAAAAGUAAACGAAGAACUCCUGAUGUUCAAAUUUAAUCUUCAAAAAAAUAUCUUA
Xenia sp. Carnegie-2017 is the source of this 334-nucleotide long non-coding RNA. RefSeq lists it as uncharacterized. Lineage: Eukaryota; Metazoa; Cnidaria; Anthozoa; Malacalcyonacea; Xeniidae. The record is from RefSeq and is a predicted model, not a curated record. The transcript is spliced from 2 exons.